Molecule: transfer RNA, 57 nt
Filed under: Calopteron sp. UPOL A00621
Lineage: Eukaryota; Metazoa; Arthropoda; Insecta; Coleoptera; Lycidae
Description: partial tRNA-Ser
Source: RNAcentral
AUAAACAUGGUUAUGCUUUAUAAAAAGUUAGAAGCUUUUUUUAAAAAAUAUUUCUUU